AGAGUUUGAUCAUGGCUCAGAUUGAACGCUGGCGGCAGGCUUAACACAUGCAAGUCGAGCGGGGGAAGGUAGCUUGCUACUGGACCUAGCGGCGGACGGGUGAGUAAUGCUUAGGAAUCUGCCUAUUAGUGGGGGACAACAUCUCGAAAGGGAUGCUAAUACCGCAUACGUCCUACGGGAGAAAGCAGGGGACCUUCGGGCCUUGCGCUAAUAGAUGAGCCUAAGUCGGAUUAGCUAGUUGGUGGGGUAAAGGCCUACCAAGGCGACGAUCUGUAGCGGGUCUGAGAGGAUGAUCCGCCACACUGGGACUGAGACACGGCCCAGACUCCUACGGGAGGCAGCAGUGGGGAAUAUUGGACAAUGGGCGGAAGCCUGAUCCAGCCAUGCCGCGUGUGUGAAGAAGGCCUUUUGGUUGUAAAGCACUUUAAGCGAGGAGGAGGCUACUAAGAUUAAUACUCUUGGAUAGUGGACGUUACUCGCAGAAUAAGCACCGGCUAACUCUGUGCCAGCAGCCGCGGUAAUACAGAGGGUGCGAGCGUUAAUCGGAUUUACUGGGCGUAAAGCGUGCGUAGGCGGCUUUUUAAGUCGGAUGUGAAAUCCCCGAGCUUAACUUGGGAAUUGCAUUCGAUACUGGGAAGCUAGAGUAUGGGAGAGGAUGGUAGAAUUCCAGGUGUAGCGGUGAAAUGCGUAGAGAUCUGGAGGAAUACCGAUGGCGAAGGCAGCCAUCUGGCCUAAUACUGACGCUGAGGUACGAAAGCAUGGGGAGCAAACAGGAUUAGAUACCCUGGUAGUCCAUGCCGUAAACGAUGUCUACUAGCCGUUGGGGCCUUUGAGGCUUUAGUGGCGCAGCUAACGCGAUAAGUAGACCGCCUGGGGAGUACGGGUCGCAAGACUAAAACUCAAAUGAAUUGACGG
RNAcentral lists this ribosomal RNA (915 nucleotides) under uncultured bacterium. Its description in RNAcentral is "bacterial SSU rRNA". It matches the Rfam family "Bacterial small subunit ribosomal RNA", at positions 8 to 916 of the family's 1533-position model. The record is from RNAcentral.